AGGUCAUCAAGAGGUAGCAUGCCUGAAAUCAAAUUACACCAGAAAGGAGGUGGGAGACACUUAUCCUAGCAGACCAUUGUAUACUGUGUGUCUCACAAUGGAAGUCGAUUUGCAUACUGAGUCAAAAGGCUAAUGAAGAGAUUGUGGGGACUUUAGCAGAAGAAAUUAACAGGAAGAGGUGAACAGCAGGGGAGAGAGAACACUGUUUGCAGGCAUUAGAUCAUUUUUCCCUCCUUCUCUGAUGUAACUGCGCUUUUGAAACACCUAUUAGUUAGGCAGGCUAAAUAGGCAAUGUGACUCCUGCAGAAGACACCAAUAUCACAUGGAAGAGGCUCUAGAGGGUAAACAGUUCCACCAACUAUUUACUAAUAUCUGAAACCUGUACUGAAAGAGGAGAUGUGAUCUUUUGGUUAAAGACCUUUUGAAAAGCUUCCUCUGCUGGCUGGGUAGGAAGUGCUGGGGAGGAGGCCAUGACCACGCCAGGCGCAAUGGUGCUGGUGGGUGCUGUGCGAAUCUGAUAACCACUUGACAGACAUUAGGAACUCUCAAGAAAUUUGUGUCACAGGUUUUGGGGAACAGAUAGCAAACAUUCUCUUGAAAGAGCUGAAGGAAAUACGGAAAGUAGAAUAUGUACCAUACUAACAGCAACCAACAGGCCUUGUGAAUGACUUCAAGAAAUACACAGCCUGUGGCUGUGCAACCAUCAUGAACCAUGCAAUCAGAAUCAGCUUGCAGGGGCCACACCGUUGUACAUACACAGAAUACAGUUUUCAUCUAUUAGUAUCCACAGGAAGCCUGCCAAUGAGGAUCAGAACAGUUUAAGAUUGGUGCAUUGCAUCCAAUGGUGGAUCUGAGGGAACAAUAUUAGGAAGACAUGUCAAUAGCGAAAACAAGAAUAAGUGCUGUGUGUUAAGUGGAGUGGUGAUCUGAAGUGAAAUCGAAUCAUGCUGGGUAUAGAACUGAGGACUGAAGAACGAAAAGGACACAUGAGAGUUUACAUUUCUUCACAACUUACCUUGAAGCCAGUGACUGUAGCAAGUCAUAAAUUGAACCCUUGUAACACUGUCACUUGAGUCCAGCAUUAAACUACAAACCAGUUUCCA
Mauremys reevesii (Reeves's turtle) is the source of this 1103-nucleotide long non-coding RNA. RefSeq lists it as uncharacterized. Lineage: Eukaryota; Metazoa; Chordata; Testudines; Geoemydidae. The record is from RefSeq and is a predicted model, not a curated record. The transcript has 9 exons.